UAAAUCUUUCUUUAAGAAGAGGAGAAAAUUCGGAUGUGGUAGCACAUGUCAAUUCCAGCACCCAAGAGGCAGAGACCGGUAGAUUUUUAUGAGUCCAAAGCGAGCCUAGUCUACGCGAGUGCUGUCUACCGAUCUGCCAUAUUUCUCAGACCAGCAAAAUGUACAAUAUCACCGUGAGUGCAAUGAACAGUGACUGCAGCGCCGGACCGCGGUCAGUGUGACGUCUUAAGGACGGUUUGAGGGUCCGGCUGGGUCCUGGGGGGAGGAGAGGCCAGAGGCCAGGAGACUGUAGCAGAGGUUAAAGCCUCAAUCAAAGUGGAGAGGCAUGAGAGGGAAAGGACCAGGCCGGCAGGCAUUCCUAAGGAGGGGAUACAGUGCACUUCAGCAGACCGGCUCCGGGAAAUUGGGAAGGAAAAAUCAUAGGGGAGGGCAUCAGCAAGGAUGAGGGCGGGCACCAAGGGGGCAAGCCCUCGGACAGGCAGGAUAGAGACUCGGUGUGAGUGGUUAGAGGUAACAAGGGACAACUAAUAGAACAUGUUUUGUGUCCCAGAAGGAGGUGAGAAUUGUGGCCUGGCAGGUAGGGCUGGCGGCUGAGAGCUGGUUACCUUAUGGUGGUGUGAGAUGCCAUGAGCUUGGAGACAAGAGGAAAGACUCAAGAGAGACCCACAGCCCAAGGAAGAAGGGAAGGAAAGAAGAAGCCCACAGAGACUAGAUGGAGACGGUACGGUGAGCACAGUACUUGCCAGGGAAGUCUGAUGACCUGUGCUUGAUCCCAGAGCCCACUUUAAAAAGCUGCAUGUGGGCUAGAGAGAUGGCUCAUUGAUGCUCUUGCAGAGGACUCAGGUCCUGGCACCCACGUGGCAACUCACAACCAUUCGUGACUUAAUUUCCAGGGGCCAACGCCCUCUUCUGGCCUCCGUGGGCACUGCAUGCCUGUGGUGCCCUGACAUCCAUGCAGAGCACACACACACACACACACACACACACACACACACACACACACACACACACACACACUCCUAACAUAAAAAAUAAAUAAAUCUUUAAAAUAUAAAAUAAAAUGUUGGAUAUGAUAACAAGCAUAUAUAAUUCCAGCACUCCUAUGGCAAAAUGGGAGGUGGAGGCAGGAGAAUUGUUGGGACUAACUAGUCUGGAAAAUGCAACAGAGCAGAAAAGAGGACUUGCCUCAAAAUUAUGUGGAAGGAAGGAACCAUUCUGAAAAACUGUGCUCUGACCUCUACGUGUGUACCGUAGCAUGAAAAUAUCUAUUAUACAUGAUGCAUGUGCACACACACACACAUUAAAGAUUAGAAUGUCUACACACAUUAUCAUCAUGUAUGUGUAUACAUACAUACACCACACACACUAAAGAUUAGGAAUGGGAAAAAAAAAGAGAGAGAAAGAGAGAGAGCCAAAGAGAAUAAGAAGAGAGAAGUUUCCUAGAAAUCACAGAAGUAUUUCAAGAGAAGCAGGUGGCCAGUAGUGUCAGAUUCCAAAGAAAGGCCAAGUGACAGAGAAGAGAACUUGGGUCAUCUUGCAGGAAGCAGCUUCCGGAGAGUCACAGGCAGAGCCUGGCUGCUGAUUUAAUUAAGGAGAAGGAUGGCGUGGAUGAGAGUUAAUAAAGAACGAGCCAGGAAGUGCAGGCAGUGGGGGUUAUGCCUUUCAACCGAGUGAUUUGCCAAAUGGAAUGAAUGAGACCAAACACUGACCGGAGGGAAGCAGGCCAGAUAGCGUGGUUGAUUUUGUUUUUCAGAUAAGGCAGCCCCAAGCAUGUGGGGUACGGUGAAGAGAGACCUCCUUGCUUUGUUCUCUGCUCCCUUUUGUCUUUUCUGGUACCGUUUCCUCAUUCCCAGCUCUCUUUCUGGAACUUAGGAGGGUGGCUUGUAAAUACUCAGAGAGUAUGAGAGGGACUCACAGACGCAAAGGCUGAGGGCUCCCUCCUCACUCCACAGACGCAUGGAGGGAGCUCGUCCUGGAGCUUAUGGAGUCCCUCACUCUCAGGCCUUGGCUCUCGCUGAUUGGCCUGACAAGCAUCUCAGUCUCCAGAGGUCUCUGCUCUUAAGGUAAAAUGGGUACAUAGAGGUCUGGGAAAUAAACCAUGCCUCGAGACCCAGGGUCAGCCUUUGCUCAUGUUUCAAUGUCUGUGAUUUAUCCUAGAAUUACAAUGUCUAGAUGCUCAACCUAUAACCCAGGCCUGGGAUGGCUCCCUUACCUCUGGGUUGGGCCCUUGCUGUUCUUUAAGAACUUGGUAGAAUGUUCUCUGAUGUUCCCGUACUGCCCAGACAUGCAGCCCACCACUGUGUGUCCGACUUUCCGAACAAGAAUUAAAAACGGAUUAAGUCAACAAGUAGACACACACAUGCCGGCUUUCCUGAGCAUGGGAGAAGGUAGCAAGUCACUCCCUGACCUGAGGCUCCGAGUCACAUUUGGAAGAAGGGACCUGAGGGGCUGGCUGCUGCUUUCCUCGUGGGGUGCCUGCCUUCCAGGAGCUGCAGGCGGCCUGAGGGUUAGAGUUGUGCUUGGGCCUGGGGACAGAUAGAAACUGCGAGCUGGGCAGACUCCCCGAAGUCUGAAGAGAGGAGGCUGUAGAAAAGGCCUCGGAAUUUACCAGGCUAGAAGAGCUGACCCAUUCUGAGCUGGAAGAACGGGAAAGGAGCAGGAGAAUGUGGUGGUUGGUUUUUUGUUGUUUUGUUUUUUGGAGAGAAGAGCAGAUGAGGCUGUCUGCAAAGUCCAAGGGUGGGGCUGCCAGAGGUUGGCCCCACCGGGCUCUGGACAGGCCAAGACCGUAGAAAGAGUGUCAGAGCUUGGCUGCUGUGUGUAUUUGUCACAGGGGAGGUGACCUUGCCCAAGGUCAGUGCCUCGUGGUGGAGAGAAACCAGGGCAGAGGAUUGGGCUUGUGCAAGGGGCCCGUGCUGGGCCCCUCGUCUCUGAGAUUACAGUCUUGGCUGCCAAGAGCAACUCCGUGGGGGUGGAAUGAGACAAAGCGGAGGUCCUUUUGUGGGGCUGGGUUCCUAAGAAUAGCCAUGGCUGGGCUCUGCAAGGUGCCUCCGUAGCCUGUCAUGUCCCAAGCCCUGUUCUCAGAGGUGUCCCCGUGCCUGGGGGAGUGGAGCUCAUUAGCCCCACCUCAGCCUCUGUGGCCUGUGUUUGUCCAGCUCUGUUGGAAGAGAAGGCGGAGGGCAGAGGAGUGGGCACAGAGUUGGCACACAUGGGUGAGGGAGGGCGGCAAAGGCCACGAGCCUGGAAAAGCAAACUGAAGCCCACAGCUGGAAACAGUGAUGCUCCUGGGAGGAGAGAAGGUGGAACAGGAGGAGCCAGCAUUGGCCAGAUGUGGGAACCAGGGGUGGGGAGACUUGUGGGAAGUCGCGGCAGGAAGCGCAUGGAGGCAGAGAGGCAGAGGCGAAACCAGGCGUGG
Molecule: non-coding RNA, 3412 nt
Organism: Peromyscus maniculatus bairdii (prairie deer mouse)
Lineage: Eukaryota; Metazoa; Chordata; Mammalia; Rodentia; Cricetidae
Source: RefSeq, a predicted model, not a curated record